GAUGAACGCUGGCGGCGUGCCUAAUACAUGCAAGUCGAGCGAACAGACGAGGAGCUUGCUCCUCUGACGUUAGCGGCGGACUGGUGAGUAACACGUGGAUAACCUACCUAUAAGACUGGGAUAACUUCGGGAAACCGGAGCUAAUACCGGAUAAUAUAUUGAACCGCAUGGUUCAAUAGUGAAAGACGGUUUUGCUGUCACUUAUAGAUGGAUCCGCGCCGCAUUAGCUAGUUGGUAAGGUAACGGCUUACCAAGGCAACGAUGCGUAGCCGACCUGAGAGGGUGAUCAGCCACACUGGAACUGAGACACGGUCCAGACUCCUACGGGAGGCAGCAGUAGGGAAUCUUCCGCAAUGGGCGAAAGCCUGACGGAGCAACGCCGCGUGAGUGAUGAAGGUCUUCGGAUCGUAAAACUCUGUUAUUAGGGAAGAACAAAUGUGUAAGUAACUAUGCACGUCUUGACGGUACCUAAUCAGAAAGCCACGGCUAACUACGUG
RNAcentral lists this ribosomal RNA (497 nucleotides) under uncultured bacterium. Its description in RNAcentral is "partial 16S ribosomal RNA". It matches the Rfam family "Bacterial small subunit ribosomal RNA", at positions 28 to 507 of the family's 1533-position model. The record is from RNAcentral.